AUGCUAGCAAGAUGGACAGCAUAUCUGGAGAGGUUUAACUAUCUUAUCGUGCAUAAAUCUGGAAUAACUAACAGAGUGGCCGAUGCUUUGAGUCGUCGUGCAUGCCUCUUGACUUCUUUUGAAGCUGAACUUCCGGGCAUGGAUCAAAUAAAGGAGUUGUAUGAGGGUGACGAAGACUUUGGCCAUGUUUGGGUAAAGCACGCAAGGGGCCAACCAUUAGGUGAUGACUAUUUGAUGCAAGAUGGAUAUCUCUUCAAAAAUGAUCGUUUGUGCAUUCCAAGAAGUUCUCUGUGUGACAAGCUGGUUAGAGAGCUCCAUUCAAGUGAUCUUAGUGGCCAUGUUGGACGGGACAAGACUAUCGCUAUCCUGGAAGCUCGCUACUUUUGUCCACAACUAAAGAGAGAUGUUGGAAAGUUCGUUCAACGGUGCCCCGUAUGUUAG
RNAcentral lists this ribosomal RNA (441 nucleotides) under Triticum aestivum (bread wheat). RNAcentral describes it as "partial small subunit ribosomal RNA". Lineage: Eukaryota; Viridiplantae; Streptophyta; Magnoliopsida; Poales; Poaceae. The record is from RNAcentral.